GACGAACGCUGGCGGCGUGCUUAACACAUGCCAGUCGAACGGAAAGGCCCUGCUUUUGUGGGGUGCUCGAGUGGCCAACGGGUGAGUAACACGUGAGUAGCCUGCCCUUGACUUUGGGAUAACUUCAGGAAACUGGGGCUAAUACCGGAUAGGAGCUCCUGCUGCAUGGUGGGGGUUGGAAAGUUUCGGCGGUUGGGGAUGGACUCGCGGCUUAUCAGCUUGUUGGUGGGGUAGUGGCUUACCAAGGCUUUGACGGGUAGCCGGCCUGAGAGGGUGACCGGCCACAUUGGGACUGAGAUACGGCCCAGACUCCUACGGGAGGCAGCAGUGGGGAAUAUUGCACAAUGGGCGGAAGCCUGAUGCAGCAACGCCGCGUGCGGGAUGACGGCCUUCGGGUUGUAAACCGCUUUCGCCUGUGACGAAGCGUGAGUGACGGUAAUGGGUAAAGAAGCACCGGCUAACUACGUG
Molecule: ribosomal RNA, 468 nt
Filed under: uncultured bacterium
Lineage: Bacteria
Description: partial 16S ribosomal RNA
Rfam family: Bacterial small subunit ribosomal RNA
Source: RNAcentral